AUUGAACGCUGGCGGCAGGCCUAAUACAUGAAAGUCGAGCGGAGCGUCGAACGGGUGAGUAAUGCCUAGGAAUCUGCCCGGUAGUGGGGGAUAACGUCCGGAAACGGGCGCUAAUACCGCAUAAUAUCAGAUGAGCCUCGGUCGGAUUAGCUAGUUGGUGGGGUAAAGGCCUACCAAGGCGACGAUGCAUAACUGGGCUGAGAGGAUGAUCAGUCACACUGGAACUGAGACACGGCCCAGACUCCUACGGGAGGCAGCAGUGGGGAAUAUUGGACAAUGGGCGAAAGCCUGAUCCAGCAAUGCCGCGUGUGUGAAGAAGGUCUUCGGAUUGUAAAACACUUUAAGUUGGGAAGCGUUACCAAACCAAUAAGCACCGGCUAACUUCGUGCCAGCAGACGCGGUAAUUC
RNAcentral lists this ribosomal RNA (407 nucleotides) under uncultured bacterium. Its description in RNAcentral is "partial 16S ribosomal RNA". It matches the Rfam family "Bacterial small subunit ribosomal RNA", at positions 30 to 526 of the family's 1533-position model. The record is from RNAcentral.